AUGCAAGUCGAGCGAUGAAGCUCCUUCGGGAGUGGAUUAGCGGCGGACGGGUGAGUAACACGUGGGUAACCUGCCUCAUAGAGGGGAAUAGCCUUUCGAAAGGAAGAUUAAUACCGCAUAAGAUUGUAGUACCGCAUGGUACAGCAAUUAAAGGAGUAAUCCGCUAUGAGAUGGACCCGCGUCGCAUUAGCUAGUUGGUGAGGUAACGGCUCACCAAGGCGACGAUGCGUAGCCGACCUGAGAGGGUGAUCGGCCACAUUGGGACUGAGACACGGCCCAGACUCCUACGGGAGGCAGCAGUGGGGAAUAUUGCACAAUGGGGGAAACCCUGAUGCAGCAACGCCGCGUGAGUGAUGACGGUCUUCGGAUUGUAAAGCUCUGUCUUUAGGGACGAUAAUGACGGUACCUAAGGAGGAAGCCACGGCUAACUACGUG
Molecule: ribosomal RNA, 435 nt
Filed under: Clostridia bacterium
Lineage: Bacteria; Bacillati; Bacillota; Clostridia
Description: bacterial SSU rRNA
Rfam family: Bacterial small subunit ribosomal RNA
Source: RNAcentral